CAAAAGAGAUGCUGAUGGCCCGCCAGGACUGGGGCAAGACAACUUUUUUUUCGGUUUCCUUUGCGGUCAUCAAACUUUUUAGGGGAUGGGGGCAGGGAUGGGAAGCGGCUGGGAGGAAAGGGAGUGGCUGGACUUGUGUGAAGCGAAGGGGUUGCAAGACGCUCCCCCUUCCCUUUUCUUUUUUAUUGGGGGUGGUGGUGGUGUUUGAGGACAUUGCAUCACCUCUGGUCGGGCUGAGGGGGGGGAGUCUCUGCUUAUAGGAGUGUAUUUUGUGGGGAAGAAACCCCAUAAAAUAUCCACCACCUUGCAGCUGUAAGAAUCCAGACUUUUCAGUCCCAGGGCGGGGCUGCCUUUCCCCCCACCCUGCUCGCUUUCUUUGGACUAGAGGGCACUGACUCCGGACUCCCUUAUUUUGUCUUCACAGCUCCCUGUUCGGACUUCCCUUCUCAGCUCUGCGCCUGUCUGACUCUGAGAAAGGGCCAGGGGACGAACGGGGAGCGAAGGGGAAAAGAGACCUUGAAUGAGCUUCUACUAAGUACCGGGAGUUCCACGGGGCGCUUUGCAGAUCCCGGGGAAGUUCAGAGAAUGAAGUUUUCCUUUGCAAGGACAAAGUAACAGUUUGCUUUUUCACAAACGCAGGAAAGCCUUUCUUUCCUGGGGAUGGGACGCCCGUUUCCACUGAAAGUGAAAUCACUGUGAACAACCUGAAAAUUGGAAAGUUGGACCAGCUGUGGGGAGCGAAAGGUCUUCGUGUCCUUUCCCACGUUCACCGUGCCAGUGACACACAAAGCAGAGAUUUUUUUGCUCGAAUCAUUAAAAGCCGGGAAUAUUCUUUUCUCAUUAGAGUGAUGUAACUCCCAACGGGCAUGGCAAAGGCGUUUAACUUAUCCAGUAAAAUGGGAACUGACUACUAUGUAGCUGGAACAUGGAACCAAAACUGUCUUGGAGGACAUUUCAUCUUUCCAAGCAAGGCAGCAGCUUCUUGGAAAAAUUUUAAUUUUGUGUGUUAUUUCAUGUUGCUGGCAUUAAAGAGUUUUUGUUGU
Chlorocebus sabaeus (green monkey) is the source of this 1043-nucleotide long non-coding RNA. RefSeq lists it as uncharacterized. Lineage: Eukaryota; Metazoa; Chordata; Mammalia; Primates; Cercopithecidae. The record is from RefSeq and is a predicted model, not a curated record.